CAGGGAGACAACAAAAUGUAAAUAUUAAUUUUGUCACCUUAGGUCGAUCGGUAUCUCAGAUUCUUAUUUUAUAAGAAUUUCAGUUCCUAAGUUUUUUCUAGGUCACACCCAUCACUUUUUCCUGGGCCAUUAGCUCAGGUGGUUAGAGCGCACCCCUGAUAAGGGUGAGGUCCCUGGUUCAAGUCCAGGAUGGCCCAUAUCUCUAUGUUGGGGGUAUAGCUCAGUUGGUAGAGCGCCUGCUUUGCAAGCAGGAUGUCACCGGUUCGAGUCCGCUUACCUCCACUGAAUACCACCUCUUGCAUAAAUUUAAAGAGGAAAAUUGUUGUGAGUCGUGUCCUAAUUUGCUCUGAGCGAAUCUAGCUUCCUAUUUUAUUCAAUAAAUAAGAUGCUGGACUCAUUGAAAUUUUUUUCAUUGUUUUCAGAGAACCUUGACAACUGCAUAGAUUAUUUUUGAAGACAAUAAGCAUCUUUAAUGAUGCAGAUUUAUUAUUUGUGCGAAUGCAUUAAAUAACAAUUCUAUUAAGCUGAUGCUUCAAUUAUUGAAGUUAUU
RNAcentral lists this transfer RNA (550 nucleotides) under uncultured cyanobacterium. RNAcentral describes it as "16S-23S ribosomal RNA intergenic spacer". The stretch from base 124 to 197 matches the Rfam family "tRNA". Lineage: Bacteria; Bacillati; Cyanobacteriota. The record is from RNAcentral.